Molecule: ribosomal RNA, 399 nt
Filed under: uncultured bacterium
Lineage: Bacteria
Description: bacterial SSU rRNA
Rfam family: Bacterial small subunit ribosomal RNA
Source: RNAcentral
AGUUUGAUCCUGGCUCAGAAUCAACGCUGGCGGCGUGCCUCAGACAUGCAAGUCGAACGCGAAAGUUCCCUUCGGGGAGCAAGUAGAGUGGCGCACGGGUGAGUAACACGUAGGUAAUCUACCUUUGGAUUGGGAAUAACCACCGGAAACGGUGGCUAAUACCGAAUAAUGCAGCGGCACCUAAUGGUGACAGUUGUUAAAGCGGGGGAUCGCAAGACCUCGCGUCUGAAGAGGAGCCUGCGGCAGAUUAGCUAGUUGGUAAGGUAACGGCUUACCAAGGCGAUGAUCUGUAGCCGGCCUGAGAGGGCGGUCGGCCACACUGACACUGACAUACGGGUCAGACUCCUACGGGAGGCAGCAGUCGGGAAUUUUGGGCAAUGGGCGAAAGCCUGACCCAGC